Molecule: transfer RNA, 71 nt
Filed under: Marmota monax (woodchuck)
Lineage: Eukaryota; Metazoa; Chordata; Mammalia; Rodentia; Sciuridae
Description: tRNA.Pro
Rfam family: tRNA
About the family: Transfer RNA (tRNA) molecules are approximately 80 nucleotides in length. Their secondary structure includes four short double-helical elements and three loops (D, anti-codon, and T loops).
Source: RNAcentral
GGGGUUGUGGCUUAAAGGUAGAGCGCUUGCCUAGGAUGCAUGAGGCACUGGGUUCGAUCUCCAGCACCACA